RNAcentral lists this ribosomal RNA (450 nucleotides) under uncultured bacterium. RNAcentral's name for it is "bacterial SSU rRNA". It matches the Rfam family "Bacterial small subunit ribosomal RNA", at positions 29 to 524 of the family's 1533-position model. The record is from RNAcentral.
AGCGAACGCUGGCGGCAGGCCUAAUACAUGCAAGUCGAGCGGGUCCUUCGGGAUUAGCGGCGGACGGGUGAGUAACGCGUGGAACGUGCCCUUUGGUACGGAACAACUGAGGGAAACUUCAGCUAAUACCGUAUGUGCCCUUCGGGGAAAGAUUUAUCGCCAUUGGAGCGGCCCGCGUUGGAUUAGGUAGUUGGUGAGGUAAAGGCUCACCAAGCCUACGAUCCAUAGCUGGUCUGAGAGGAUGACCAGCCACACUGGGACUGAGACACGGCCCAGACUCCUACGGGAGGCAGCAGUAGGGAAUCUUGCGCAAUGGGCGAAAGCCUGACGCAGCCAUGCCGCGUGAAUGAUGAAGGUCUUAGGAUUGUAAAAUUCUUUCUACCGGGGACGAUAAUGACGGUACCCGGACGAAGAAGCCCCGGCUAACCUCGUGCCAGCAGCCGCGGUAAU